CGGGGGGCGUGCUUACACAUGCAGUCGAACGAUGAACCACUUCGGUGGGGAUUAGUGGCGAACGGGUGAGUAACACGUGGGCAAUCUGCCCUGCACUCUGGGACAAGCCCUGGAAACGGGGUCUAAUACCGGAUACUGACCAUUGCAGGCAUCUGUGAUGGUCGAAAGCUCCGGCGGUGCAGGAUGAGCCCGCGGCCUAUCAGCUUGUUGGUGAGGUAGUGGCUCACCAAGGCGACGACGGGUAGCCGGCCUGAGAGGGCGACCGGCCACACUGGGACUGAGACACGGCCCAGACUCCUACCGGAAGGCAGCAGUGGGGAAUAUUGCACAAUGGGCGAAAGCCUGAUGCAGCGACGCCGCGUGAGGGAUGACGGCCUUCGGGUUGUAAACCUCUUUCAGCAGGGAAGAAGCGAAAGUGACGGUACCUGCAGAAGAAGCGCCGGCUAACUACGUGCCAGCAGCCGCGGUAAUACGUAGGGCGCGAGCGUUGUCCGGAAUUAUUGGGCGUAAAGAGCUCGUAGGCGGCUUGUCACGUCGGUUGUGAAAGCCCGGGGCUUAACCCCGGGUCUGCAGUCGAUACGGGCAGGCUAGAGUUCGGUAGGGGAGAUCGGAAUUCCUGGUGUAGCGGUGAAAUGCGCAGAUAUCAGGAGGAACACCGGUGGCGAAGGCGGAUCUCUGGGCCGAUACUGACGCUGAGGAGCGAAAGCGUGGGGAGCGAACAGGAUUAGAUACCCUGGUAGUCCACGCCGUAAACGGUGGGCACUAGGUGUGGGCAACAUUCCACGUUGUCCGUGCCGCAGCUAACGCAUUAAGUGCCCCGCCUGGGGAGUACGGCCGCAAGGCUAAAACUCAAAGGAAUUGACGGGGGCCCGCACAAGCGGCGGAGCAUGUGGCUUAAUUCGACGCAACGCGAAGAACCUUACCAAGGCUUGACAUACACCGGAAACGUCCAGAGAUGGGCGCCCCCUUGUGGUCGGUGUACAGGUGGUGCAUGGCUGUCGUCAGCUCGUGUCGUGAGAUGUUGGGUUAAGUCCCGCAACGAGCGCAACCCUUGUCCCGUGUUGCCAGCAGGCCCUUGUGGUGCUGGGGACUCACGGGAGACCGCCGGGGUCAACUCGGAGGAAGGUGGGGACGACGUCAAGUCAUCAUGCCCCUUAUGUCUUGGGCUGCACACGUGCUACAAUGGCCGGUACAAUGAGCUGCGAUACCGCGAGGUGGAGCGAAUCUCAAAAAGCCGGUCUCAGUUCGGAUUGGGGUCUGCAACUCGACCCCAUGAAGUCGGAGUCGCUAGUAAUCGCAGAUCAGCAUUGCUGCGGUGAAUACGUUCCCGGGCCUUGUACACACCGCCCGUCACGUCACGAAAGUCGGUAACACCCGAAGCCGGUGGCCCAACCCCUUGUGGGAGGGAGCUUCGAAGGGG
Molecule: ribosomal RNA, 1420 nt
Filed under: Streptomyces sp.
Lineage: Bacteria; Bacillati; Actinomycetota; Actinomycetes; Kitasatosporales; Streptomycetaceae
Description: bacterial SSU rRNA
Rfam family: Bacterial small subunit ribosomal RNA
Source: RNAcentral